RNAcentral lists this ribosomal RNA (750 nucleotides) under uncultured bacterium. RNAcentral describes it as "bacterial SSU rRNA". It matches the Rfam family "Bacterial small subunit ribosomal RNA", at positions 28 to 776 of the family's 1533-position model. The record is from RNAcentral.
GAUUAACGCUAGCGGGAUGCCUAAUACAUGCAAGUCGAACGAAGUAUUUAUACUUAGUGGCGAACGGGUGAGUAACACGUAUCCAACAUACCCAUAAGAGGGGGAUAACUAGUUGAAAAACUAGCUAAUACCCCAUAGCAUAUUUUUACAUAAGUAUUAAUAUUUAAAGUUGCGUUUGCAACACUUUUGGAUUGGGGUGCGACGUAUUAGAUUGUUGGUGAGGUAAUGGCUCACCAAGUCGAUGAUGCGUAGCUGUGCUGAGAGGCAGAACAGCCACAAUGGGACUGAGACACGGCCCAUACUUCUACGGAAGGCAGCAGUAGGGAAUUUUCCACAAUGGGCGAAAGCCUGAUGGAGCAAUCCCGCGUGAACGAUGAAGGUCCUACAAGAUUGUAAAGUUCUUCUAUUGGGGAAGAAAUGUAAGAAAAGGAAAUGUUUUUUAUUUGACGGUACCCUUUGAAUAAGUAUCGGCUAACUAUGUGCCAGCAGCCGCGGUAAUACAUAGGAUGCAAGCGUUAUCCGGAUUUACUGGGCGUAAAGCGAGCGCAGGCGGAUCUACAAGUCUGAUGUUAAAGACAACUGCUUAACGGUUGUUUGCAUUGGAAACUGUAAGUCUAGAGUAUAGUAGAGAGUUUUGGAACUCCAUGUGGAGCGGUGGAAUGCGUAGAUAUAUGGAAGAACACCAGAGGCGAAGGCGAAAACUUAGGCUAUAACUGACGCUUAGGCUCGAAAGUGUGGGGAGCAAAUAGG